This 661-nucleotide ribosomal RNA is filed under the name uncultured Bacteroidota bacterium. RNAcentral's name for it is "bacterial SSU rRNA". It matches the Rfam family "Bacterial small subunit ribosomal RNA", at positions 79 to 738 of the family's 1533-position model. The record is from RNAcentral. Lineage: Bacteria; Pseudomonadati; Bacteroidota.
GCUAAUUUGCUGACGAGUGGCGCACGGGUGCGUAACGCGUAUACAAUCUACCUUUUACAGUGGGAUAGCCUUUAGAAAUGAAGAUUAAUACCGCAUAGUAUGUUUAAAUGGCAUCAUUUAGAUAUUAAAGAUUUAUCGGUAAAAGAUGAGUAUGCGUUCUAUUAGCUAGAUGGUAAGGUAACGGCUUACCAUGGCAACGAUAGAUAGGGGCCCUGAGAGGGGGAUCCCCCACACUGGUACUGAGACACGGACCAGACUCCUACGGGAGGCAGCAGUGAGGAAUAUUGGACAAUGGGCGCAAGCCUGAUCCAGCCAUGCCGCGUGCAGGAAGACUGCCCUACGGGUUGUAAACUGCUUUUAUACAGGAAGAAACACCCCCUCGUGAGGGGGCUUGACGGUACUGUAAGAAUAAGGAUCGGCUAACUCCGUGCCAGCAGCCGCGGUAAUACGGAGGAUCCAAGCGUUAUCCGGAAUCAUUGGGUUUAAAGGGUCCGUAGGUGGAUAAUUAAGUCAGAGGUGAAAGUCUGCAGCUCAACUGUAGAAUUGCCUUUGAUACUGGUUAUCUUGAGUCAUUAUGAAGUGGUUAGAAUAUGUAGUGUAGCGGUGAAAUGCAUAGAUAUUACAUAGAAUACCAAUUGCGAAGGCAGAUCACUAAUAAUGU